Molecule: ribosomal RNA, 506 nt
Filed under: Bacillus pumilus
Lineage: Bacteria; Bacillati; Bacillota; Bacilli; Caryophanales; Bacillaceae
Description: bacterial SSU rRNA
Rfam family: Bacterial small subunit ribosomal RNA
Source: RNAcentral
GGCGGCGUGCCUAAUACAUGCAAGUCGAGCGGACAGAAGGGAGCUUGCUCCCUGAUGUUAGCGGCGGACGGGUGAGUAACACGUGGGUAACCUGCCUGUAAGACUGGGAUAACUCCGGGAAACCGGAGCUAAUACCGGAUAGUUCCUUGAACCGCAUGGUUCAAGGAUGAAAGACGGUUUCGGCUGUCACUUACAGAUGGACCCGCGGCGCAUUAGCUAGUUGGUGGGGUAAUGGCUCACCAAGGCGACGAUGCGUAGCCGACCUGAGAGGGUGAUCGGCCACACUGGGACUGAGACACGGCCCAGACUCCUACGGGAGGCAGCAGUAGGGAAUCUUCCGCAAUGGACGAAAGUCUGACGGAGCAACGCCGCGUGAGUGAUGAAGGUUUUCGGAUCGUAAAGCUCUGUUGUUAGGGAAGAACAAGUGCGAGAGUAACUGCUCGCACCUUGACGGUACCUAACCAGAAAGCCACGGCUAACUACGUGCCAGCCGCCGCGGUAAUACA